GCGGGAACCAUCUGCUGUAGAAGCUCAGACGGAGAUUUUUUUUUGGGGAAGUCUGGUUUCAUGAGGAGUUUGGUAGAGGAUCGACCGACGGUGGAGUUCGGAUGGCAUUGCGGAGUUCGUCCGCUGAAGGAGUCUGAAGGGUCCUGUGGAAGUCUGGUUGGCAUUGUUGAAGUCCGUAUGGAGACCGCUUAUUAAAGAAGCUCGACUGAAGUCCACUUGUAACAGGAGUUC
This 231-nucleotide long non-coding RNA is filed under the name Elaeis guineensis (African oil palm). RNAcentral describes it as "long non-coding RNA (EGUI_LNC058506)". Lineage: Eukaryota; Viridiplantae; Streptophyta; Magnoliopsida; Arecales; Arecaceae. The record is from RNAcentral.